RNAcentral lists this ribosomal RNA (301 nucleotides) under uncultured bacterium. RNAcentral's name for it is "partial 16S ribosomal RNA". It matches the Rfam family "Bacterial small subunit ribosomal RNA", at positions 509 to 807 of the family's 1533-position model. The record is from RNAcentral.
CAGCCGCCGCGGUAAUACGGAGGGGGCUAGCGUUGUUCGGAAUUACUGAGCGUAAAGCGCACGUAGGCGGCUUGGUAAGUUAGAGGUGAAAGCCUGGAGCUCAACUCCAGAAUUGCCUUUAAGACUGCCGAGCUAGCAGGUGAGAGAGGUAAGUGGAAUUCCGAGUGUAGAGGUGAAAUUCGUAGAUAUUCGGAAGAACACCAGUGGCGAAGGCGGCUUACUGGCUCAUACUGGACGCUGAGGUGCGAAAGCGUGGGGAGCAAACAGGAUUAGAUACCCCCGUAGUCCCUGUCUCUUAUAC